UUCUAUAUUAGCAUUUUUUUCAUUUUCAGUUGUUUCAGUUUCCUAUUUUCAUUUCUAUUCCAUAACAGUAAAUGAAGAGUCAGAAGAAUCUGCAGAGGAAGUUGGAGGACAGACAAUGAUUUUGGAUACAUCAGGCUUGGGCUGGAGUGUGGAUCUGAGGCUGAAUUAUGUCCAGAUUUAAAGUUUAACAGCAAUGAUAUGAUGCGGAUUCUUAAUGUUUCUUCACAAGGAGAGAAUGAUAAGAGCCACUUUCAUCUAUUGGUGCAAGUGUAACUCAAGCAUCGUAGUCACUAGCUACUGAGAACCCUAGUUGAUUUUUAGCCAGCCUUUAUUGGAUUUCAGUUACAAGAACACUGUAUUCACCAUGACUUACUUUUUUAUGUGAGAUCUAAGCCGUAUCUUUAAUUUCACUGGUAUUCUAUGACUCACAUCUUUUCAUCCAGUGUUAUAAAAACUGUUCAUUACUGGUUUAACAGCAAGCAGGAAUUAAGUUACUUCUUUGUAUUUGGUUAGUCUUAAGUCUUCAGACUUAUGUGAAUUAGUACUAUCAUUGAUAAUAGGAAUGAAUUCACUUCAGGAAUCACUUCAGAACUUUAUUUUGGUCAU
This 606-nucleotide long non-coding RNA is filed under the name Phasianus colchicus (ring-necked pheasant). Its description in RNAcentral is "lncRNA (ENSPCLG00000001315.1)". Lineage: Eukaryota; Metazoa; Chordata; Aves; Galliformes; Phasianidae. The record is from RNAcentral.